UACGUAGGGUGCGAGCGUUGUCCGGAAUUAUUGGGCGUAAAGAGCUUGUAGGCGGUUUGUCGCGUCUGCUGUGAAAACGCGGGGCUCAACUCCGCGCCUGCAGUGGGUACGGGCAGACUAGAGUGCAGUAGGGGAGACUGGAAUUCCUGGUGUAGCGGUGGAAUGCGCAGAUAUCAGGAGGAACACCGGUGGCGAAGGCGGGUCUCUGGGCUGUAACUGACGCUGGAGGAGCGAAAGCGUGGGUAGCGAACAGG
RNAcentral lists this ribosomal RNA (254 nucleotides) under uncultured bacterium. RNAcentral describes it as "partial 16S ribosomal RNA". It matches the Rfam family "Bacterial small subunit ribosomal RNA", at positions 524 to 776 of the family's 1533-position model. The record is from RNAcentral.